GGAAGGUCCAGGCGUUAUCCGGAUUUAUUGGGUUUAAAGGGAGCGUAGGCUGGAGAUUAAGUGUGUUGUGAAAUGUAGACGCUCAACGUCUGAAUUGCAGCGCAUACUGGUUUCCUUGAGUACGCACAACGUUGGCGGAAUUCGUCGUGUAGCGGUGAAAUGCUUAGAUAUGACGAAGAACUCCGAUUGCGAAGGCAGCUGACGGGAGCGCAACUGACGCUUAAGCUCGAAGGUGCGGGUAUCAAACAGGAUUAGAUACCCUGGUAGUCCGCACAGUAAACGAUGGAUGCCCGCUGUUGGUACCUGGUAUCAGCGGCUAAGCGAAAGCAUUAAGCAUCCCACCUGGGGAGU
RNAcentral lists this ribosomal RNA (351 nucleotides) under uncultured bacterium. RNAcentral's name for it is "bacterial SSU rRNA". It matches the Rfam family "Bacterial small subunit ribosomal RNA", at positions 527 to 881 of the family's 1533-position model. The record is from RNAcentral.